RNAcentral lists this ribosomal RNA (253 nucleotides) under uncultured bacterium. RNAcentral's name for it is "partial 16S ribosomal RNA". It matches the Rfam family "Bacterial small subunit ribosomal RNA", at positions 524 to 776 of the family's 1533-position model. The record is from RNAcentral.
UACGUAGGGUGCAAGCGUUGUCCGGAAUUAUUGGGCGUAAAGAGCUCGUAGGUGGCUUGCUGCGUCUGCCGUGAAAGCCCGUGGCUUAACUACGGGUCUGCGGUGGAUACGGGCAGGCUAGAGGCUGGUAGGGGCAAGCGGAAUUCCUGGUGUAGCGGUGAAAUGCGCAGAUAUCAGGAGGAACACCGGUGGCGAAGGCGGCUUGCUGGGCCAGUUCUGACGCUGAGGAGCGAAAGCGUGGGGAGCAAACAGG